This 253-nucleotide ribosomal RNA is filed under the name uncultured bacterium. RNAcentral describes it as "partial 16S ribosomal RNA". It matches the Rfam family "Bacterial small subunit ribosomal RNA", at positions 524 to 776 of the family's 1533-position model. The record is from RNAcentral.
UACGAACCGUACGAACGUUAUUCGGAAUCACUGGGCUUAAAGGGUGCGUAGGCGGCGCUGAAAGUUGGGUGUGAAAUCCCUCGGCUUAACCGAGGAACUGCGCUCAAAACUUCAGUGCUCGAGGGAGACAGAGGUGAGCGGAACUUAAGGUGGAGCGGUGAAAUGCGUUGAUAUCUUAAGGAACGCCGGUGGCGAAAGCGGCUCACUGGGUCUUUUCUGACGCUGAGGCACGAAAGCUAGGGUAGCGAACGGG